RNAcentral lists this unclassified non-coding RNA (389 nucleotides) under soil metagenome. Its description in RNAcentral is "partial contains 5.8S ribosomal RNA, internal transcribed spacer 2, and large subunit ribosomal RNA". The stretch from base 1 to 122 matches the Rfam family "5.8S ribosomal RNA", at positions 35 to 154 of the family's 154-position model. The record is from RNAcentral.
GAUGAAGAACGCAGCGAAAUGCGAUACUUGGUGUGAAUUGCAGAAUCCCGUGAACCAUCGAGUCUUUGAACGCAAGUUGCGCCCGAAGCCACUAGGCCGAGGGCACGCCUGCCUGGGCGUCACACGCCGUUGCCCCCCCAUCUACUCCUUCGGGAUUGCGGGGGGGCGGAUGAUGGCCUCCCGUGCGCCUAGCCGCGCGGUUGGCAUAAAUACCAAGUCCUCGGCGACGCACGCCACGACAAUCGGUGGUUGCGAAACCUCGGUUGCCCGUCGUGUGCGUUCGUCGCGCAUCGAGGGCUCGAAAAAAUGCUCGGCUCCGGCUGGGCUUUCAACGCGACCCCAGGUCAGGCGGGGUUACCCGCUGAAUUUAAGCAUAUCAAUAAGGAGGA